Molecule: transfer RNA, 72 nt
Filed under: Marmota monax (woodchuck)
Lineage: Eukaryota; Metazoa; Chordata; Mammalia; Rodentia; Sciuridae
Description: tRNA.Ala
Source: RNAcentral
AUGUUGUGGCUCAGUGGUAGAGUACUUGCCUAGCAUGCAUGAGGCACUGGAUUUGAUCCUCAGCACCACAUA